UACGUAGGUGGCAAGCGUUGUCCGGAUUUACUGGGCGUAAAGAGCGCGCAGGCGGUCGUUCAAGUCGCGUGUGAAAGCCCCCGGCUCAACUGGGGAGGGUCACGCGAUACUGAUCGACUCGAAGGCAGGAGAGGGUAGUGGAAUUCCCGGUGUAGUGGUGAAAUGCGUAGAUAUCGGGAGGAACACCUGUGGCGAAAGCGGCUCACUGGCUCGUAACUGACGCUCAUGCACGACAGCGUGGGGAUCAAACAGG
This 253-nucleotide ribosomal RNA is filed under the name uncultured bacterium. RNAcentral's name for it is "partial 16S ribosomal RNA". It matches the Rfam family "Bacterial small subunit ribosomal RNA", at positions 524 to 776 of the family's 1533-position model. The record is from RNAcentral.